UACGGGGGGGGCAAGCGUUGUUCGGAAUUACUGGGCGUAAAGGGCUCGUAGGCGGCCAACUAAGUCAGACGUGAAAUCCCUCGGCUUAACCGGGGAACUGCGUCUGAUACUGGAUGGCUUGAAUCCGGGAGAGGGAUGCGGAAUUCCAGGUGUAGCGGUGAAAUGCGUAGAUAUCUGGAGGAACACCGGUGGCGAAGGCGGCAUCCUGGACCGGCAUUGACGCUGAGGCACGAAAGCGUGGGGAGCAAACAGGG
RNAcentral lists this ribosomal RNA (254 nucleotides) under uncultured bacterium. Its description in RNAcentral is "partial 16S ribosomal RNA". It matches the Rfam family "Bacterial small subunit ribosomal RNA", at positions 524 to 777 of the family's 1533-position model. The record is from RNAcentral.